RNAcentral lists this long non-coding RNA (260 nucleotides) under Parus major (Great Tit). RNAcentral's name for it is "lncRNA (ENSPMJG00000019978.1)". The record is from RNAcentral. Lineage: Eukaryota; Metazoa; Chordata; Aves; Passeriformes; Paridae.
UUUUUUUAAAUUAUAGGUUAUUUCCUCUUCAUUCCCUUUGAAAAUUUUCCAAUCCUAGAAAAUUUUGUGAGAAAACUGAACUGACUGAGGUUCAUAUUUGAAAAGGGAGAUGUGAUAGGUCCAGCCUCUGUGAUCAGAAUGAAGCUUAGCGCCAGAGGAGCCUAAGUGGUGCCCUUGUUCCUCUAAGCACCUCUAAGCUUUAUACGGUGAUUUUUCAGGCCUGGUUUAUUAAGGCUGUGAUGUUCAGACCGAGAGCAGGG